This 301-nucleotide ribosomal RNA is filed under the name uncultured bacterium. Its description in RNAcentral is "partial 16S ribosomal RNA". It matches the Rfam family "Bacterial small subunit ribosomal RNA", at positions 509 to 808 of the family's 1533-position model. The record is from RNAcentral.
CAGCCGCCACGGUAAUACGUAGGUGGCAAGCGUUGUCCGGAAUUAUUGGGCGUAAGGGCUCGCAGGCGGUUUCUUAAGUCUGAUGUGAAAGCCCCCGGCUCAACCGGGGAGGGUCAUUGGAAACUGGGAAACUUGAGUGCAGAAGAGGAGAGUGGAAUUCCACGUGUAGCGGUGAAAUGCGUAGAGAUGUGGAGGAACACCAGUGGCGAAGGCGACUCUCUGGUCUGUAACUGACGCUGAGGAGCGAAAGCGUGGGGAGCGAACAGGAUUAGAUACCCCCGUAGUCCCUGUCUCUUAUACA